GACGUAGGGCGCGAGCGUUGUCCGGAUUUAUUGGGCGUAAAGAGCUCGUAGGCGGCUUGUCGCGUCGACUGUGAAAACCCGCGGCUCAACUGCGGGCCUGCAGCCGAUACGGGCAGGCUAGAGUUCGGUAGGGGAGACUGGAAUUCCUGGUGUAGCGGUGAAAUGCGCAGAUAUCUGGAGGAACACCGGUGGCGAAGGCGGCAUCCUGGACCGGCAUUGACGCUGAGGCGCGAAAGCCAGGGGAGCAAACGGG
Molecule: ribosomal RNA, 253 nt
Filed under: uncultured bacterium
Lineage: Bacteria
Description: partial 16S ribosomal RNA
Rfam family: Bacterial small subunit ribosomal RNA
Source: RNAcentral